Non-coding RNA from Acanthosepion pharaonis, 98 nucleotides. The record is from the annotation of a GenBank genome assembly. Lineage: Eukaryota; Metazoa; Mollusca; Cephalopoda; Sepiida; Sepiidae.
UUGAAACAUUGGUUCCCAUAUAAUCUGUAAAGUUAAGCAGCAUCAAGCCUGGUCAGUACCUAGAUGGUUGACCAUUUGGGAAUACUAGGUGCUGUAAG